UGGCUCAGUUGGUAGAGCAUGGUGUUUGCAACACCAGGUUGUGGGUUUGAUUCCCAU
RNAcentral lists this transfer RNA (57 nucleotides) under Salmo salar (Atlantic salmon). It matches the Rfam family "tRNA", at positions 8 to 63 of the family's 71-position model. From Rfam's summary of the family: Transfer RNA (tRNA) molecules are approximately 80 nucleotides in length. Their secondary structure includes four short double-helical elements and three loops (D, anti-codon, and T loops). Lineage: Eukaryota; Metazoa; Chordata; Actinopteri; Salmoniformes; Salmonidae. The record is from Rfam by way of RNAcentral.